GCCAAUGUAGCUUAGCGGUAGAGCACCCGCUUAGUAAGCGGGAGGUCGUCGGUUCGAACCCGGCCAUUGGCU
RNAcentral lists this transfer RNA (72 nucleotides) under Amoebophrya sp. A25. It matches the Rfam family "tRNA". From Rfam's summary of the family: Transfer RNA (tRNA) molecules are approximately 80 nucleotides in length. Their secondary structure includes four short double-helical elements and three loops (D, anti-codon, and T loops). The record is from Rfam by way of RNAcentral. RNAcentral also lists the same sequence under 1 other name. Lineage: Eukaryota; Dinophyceae; Syndiniales; Amoebophryaceae.